CCCACCUCCCUCCUUUCGCCGAAAAAAUCUACUGUAUCACAUCUGCACCAUACGAUCAGUAACAAGUCAAUCAUAUUUAUUUUUUUUUAAAAAAUAUAUAAUAAUUUUAUUUAUAUUAAGUAUGACGCGACAGAUGAAUUUAAGAAGGACAAUUUUAUUAAUCGAAGAUGCCACGUCAGCAAUUUAACUAGCAUAUUCUAAACUAUUUUCUCUUUUGCGCCCUCCCCUCCCUA
This 233-nucleotide long non-coding RNA is filed under the name Ananas comosus (pineapple). RNAcentral's name for it is "long non-coding RNA (ACOM_LNC012838)". The record is from RNAcentral. Lineage: Eukaryota; Viridiplantae; Streptophyta; Magnoliopsida; Poales; Bromeliaceae.